ACUAGUGACAGAGAGAGGGUGGGGUGACUAGUGACAGAGAGAGGGAGGGGGUGACUAGUGACAGAGUGAGGGAGGGAAGGGGUGACUAGUGACAGAGUGAGGGAGGUGGUGAUUAGUGACAGAGGGAAGGAUGGGGUGACUAGUGACAGUCACCACCUCCUUCACUCUGUCACUAGUCACCCACUCCCUCCCUUACUCUGUCACUAGUCACCCCCUCUCUCACUAUGUCACUAGUCACCCCCUCUAUCACUCUGUCACCAGUCAUUCCCUCACUCUGUCACCAGUCAUCCCUUCCUUCCCUCACUCUACCACUAGUCAUCCCUUCCCUCACUCUG
This is a non-coding RNA of Pelobates cultripes (western spadefoot toad), 335 nucleotides long. The record is from the annotation of a GenBank genome assembly. Lineage: Eukaryota; Metazoa; Chordata; Amphibia; Anura; Pelobatidae.